Long non-coding RNA from Octopus sinensis (East Asian common octopus), 468 nucleotides. RefSeq lists it as uncharacterized. Lineage: Eukaryota; Metazoa; Mollusca; Cephalopoda; Octopoda; Octopodidae. The transcript has 3 exons. The record is from RefSeq and is a predicted model, not a curated record.
UGCAUUCUUGGAAUAUAUAUUUGAUAAUAAUUCGCAAGCCUUAGAAAAGCUUGUAAGGUUGAUAAGUUAGUCAGAUGAGGCAUAUCUUUAAUUGCGUCAGCCCUCGACGGGUCCGGUCGUCGUCCAUUCCUGUCGAUAAUUUGUCCUAAAUACUUAAUUUCAGGAGUCGAUAAUAAUAGGAUCGAGAAAGAAACUUUAAUCCCUUGCCUACACCAAGAUCUGAUAGGACAGUCAGUGAAAAUCGAGAGUUAUGAGCGGAUUACAUUGUAUUGUUUGGUGGAGUAUGAGUUGCACUUUCCUUCUGAUAUAGGCAAAACACAAAGCCUGACAGACAUAAAAUGCAAAAGCACACUUUGGAUGCAAAGUUUGAGGAAGAGAUACACAAAAUAUUUAAAAUUGGAAAUAUUACAUAAAAUUGUUCACCUGGAACUUUUGCACUGAAAGCAGAGUUGGCACAGAAACAAUUAU